AACUUACAGCAACGGAUCUCUUGGUUCUGGCAUCGAUGAAGAACGCAGCGAAAUGCGAUAAGUAAUGUGAAUUGCAGAAUUCAGUGAAUCAUCGAAUCUUUGAACGCACAUUGCGCCCCGUGGUAUUCCGCGGGGCAUGCCUGUUCGAGCGUCAGUACAACACUCAAGCUCUGCUUGGUAUUGGGUCGCGUCAGCAAUGACCGGCCUUAAAAACAUUGGCGGUGCCAUCGUGCUCUGAGCGUAGUAAUACUCCUCGCUAUAGAGUCUCGGUGCGUGCUUGCCACUAACCCCCAACUUUCUAAGUUUGACCUCGGAUCAGGUAGGGAUACCCGCUGAACCUAAGCAUAUCAAUAAGCGGAGGCU
RNAcentral lists this unclassified non-coding RNA (363 nucleotides) under uncultured Hyaloscyphaceae. Its description in RNAcentral is "sequence contains ITS2". The stretch from base 1 to 154 matches the Rfam family "5.8S ribosomal RNA". The record is from RNAcentral. Lineage: Eukaryota; Fungi; Ascomycota; Leotiomycetes; Helotiales.